GGCCGAGAAGCGAUAACCAGAAUGUGCCAGACAUUCAUGACAGCAUCGUCUGGCUUUCCGUCACAUUCGGGUUUGGCAAACUAGCAUGUCAUUUAAGAAGCUUUCAAUGUAGAAAGUCGCCAUGCUUUUAAGAAAUUGCAUGAUAUUCUGACUGCAAAUACUAUCUUCAAAGAUUUAGCGUAUUUCUGCAGCUACAUUGUCACUAUGAAAUAGCGGAGCAACGUUCAGGGGUUAAAACUGCAGCUGUCUUCUCCGAGCGACACAAGGGAAACAACACGAAUUUGACCCGCAUCGAUGGAGAACACGUGGACUUUCAUUGAGCAAAAGGCACACCAGAAUAAUCUAAAUACGCUACCAGCCACUACCAGAGGCGGCCUUAGCAGCAGUACGCGGUGCCCUGCUGUUUGGUCCUAUGCGAGGGCCGAGAGCCGUAAGUGUAGGCUGCAUACCGUACCACAAGAAUCUCCUAUCGCGGGCCUCCAUUACGAUCUGUAUGUAAGCAUAAUUAUUGUCAUAAACCAUUUUUUAGUUUUUUGGUUUGCUUUUUGGUUUUGUGUGUGUGUGUGUGUGUGUGUGUGUGUGUGUG
This is a long non-coding RNA of Pomacea canaliculata, 586 nucleotides long. RefSeq lists it as uncharacterized. Lineage: Eukaryota; Metazoa; Mollusca; Gastropoda; Architaenioglossa; Ampullariidae. The record is from RefSeq and is a predicted model, not a curated record. The transcript is spliced from 3 exons.